GGGAAUCUUCCACAAUGGACGCAAGUCUGAUGGAGCAACGCCGCGUGAGUGAAGAAGAUCUUCGGAUCGUAAAACUCUGUUGUUAGAGAAGAACACGAGUGAGAGUAACUGUUCAUUCGAUGACGGUAUCUAACCAGCAAGUCACGGCUAACUACGUGCCAG
Molecule: ribosomal RNA, 162 nt
Filed under: uncultured bacterium
Lineage: Bacteria
Description: partial 16S rRNA
Rfam family: Bacterial small subunit ribosomal RNA
Source: RNAcentral